Molecule: ribosomal RNA, 480 nt
Filed under: uncultured bacterium
Lineage: Bacteria
Description: partial 16S ribosomal RNA
Rfam family: Bacterial small subunit ribosomal RNA
Source: RNAcentral
GAUGAACGCUGGCGGCGUGCCUAAUACAUGCAAGUCGAACGCUUCACUUCGGUGAAGAGUGGCGAACGGGUGAGUAAUACAUAAGUAACCUGGCAUCUACAGGGGAUAAAUGAUGGAAACGUCCACUAAGACCGCCAAGGUUUAGAAAUCGCAUGAACUUCAAAUGGAAAGUUCCACGGGACCGGUAGGUGAUGGACUUAUGGCGCAUUAGCUUGGUGGUAGGGUAACGGCCUACCAAGGCGACGAUGCGUAGCCGACCUGAGAGGGUGACCGGCCACACUGGGACUGAGACACGGCCCAGACUCCUACGGGAGGCAGCAGUAGGGAAUUUUCGGCAAUGGGGGAAACCCUGACCGAGCAACGCCGCGUGAAGGAAGAAGUAAUUCGUUAUGUAAACUUCUGUCAUAGAGGAAGAACGGUGGAUAUAGGGAAUGAUAUCCAAGUGACGGUACUCUAUAAGAAAGCCACGGCUAACUACGU